UGGGGAAUUUUGGACAAUGGGGGAAACCCUGAUCCAGCCAUCCCGCGUGUGCGAUGAAGGCCUUCGGGUUGUAAAGCACUUUUGGCAGGAAAGAAACGUCAUGGGUUAAUACCCCGUGAAACUGACGGUACCUGCAGAAUAAGCACCGGCUAACUACGUGCCAGCAGCCGCGGUAAUACGUAGGGUGCAAGCGUUAAUCGGAAUUACUGGGCGUAAAGCGUGCGCAGGCGGUUCGGAAAGAAAGAUGUGAAAUCCCAGAGCUCAACUUUGGAACUGCAUUUUUAACUACCGGGCUAGAGUGUGUCAGAGGGAGGUGGAAUUCCGCGUGUAGCAGUGAAAUGCGUAGAUAUGCGGAGGAACACCGAUCGCGAAGGCAGCCUCCUGGGAUAACACUGACGCUCAUGCACGAAAGCGUGGGGAGCAAACAGG
RNAcentral lists this ribosomal RNA (429 nucleotides) under Acidobacteriota bacterium. RNAcentral's name for it is "Acidobacteria bacterium partial 16S ribosomal RNA". It matches the Rfam family "Bacterial small subunit ribosomal RNA", at positions 355 to 776 of the family's 1533-position model. Lineage: Bacteria; Pseudomonadati; Acidobacteriota. The record is from RNAcentral.